This is an RNA transcript of Quercus robur (English oak), 1053 nucleotides long. It is a transcript of the gene named glutamyl-tRNA(Gln) amidotransferase subunit C, chloroplastic/mitochondrial, with no coding region annotated. Lineage: Eukaryota; Viridiplantae; Streptophyta; Magnoliopsida; Fagales; Fagaceae. The transcript is spliced from 8 exons. The record is from RefSeq and is a predicted model, not a curated record.
CCUGUCCAUGAAAUGGAGAGGAUCCGAAUCCCAAAGUUGUUUUUGGCCCAAUCCAAACAUCUCUGACUGACCUAUUUUAUGCACAAUCCCUUCCCUACAGACCAUAUCUUUUACUUUAUCUCGCUCUCUCUCACUCUCACACAGCCACUCGACCUGGAAACCUGGCAAAUCUCUCUUUCAGUUACCACUGGUCAUUACAAUUGCACCAAAUUUUCCAAAAAGAUGGGAAGCAAAGCAUUGCUUAUGCUAAAAGGAGUGUCAAGUAUAGCACCAAAGAACCAAAUCUUCAACUUCAACUGCAAAAGCAACAGAAGCAGCAACUCCAGCUUCAGCUUCUCAAAAGUAGUUAUUAAUCACGACAAGAACAAUAAGGUCCGAAGAUGCUCAACAACUACAACCCAGUCCUCUCUUGAACCUCCCGAUGUGUCCCGUUUGGCUGAAACUGCUCGAAUCUCUCUCACCCCAAAUGAGGUUGAAGAAUUUGCUCCAAAAAUACGACAGGUCAUAGAUUGGUUUGGACAACUUCAAGAUGUUGAUCUUCAUAGUAUUGAGCCUUCCAUCAGAGCAGAUACUGAAGACAGCAAUUUGCGUGAUGAUAUUCCUGAAACAUUUGAGAAUAGGGAGUCCAUGAUUGCUGCUGUUCCUAGCUAUGAAGAACCAUAUAUUAAAGUUCCCAAAGUCUUGAACAAGGAGUAACAUUAUUCAGGUGGUUAUCAUGGGAACUUUUGGUAUGUACCAUAUUGGUAACAAAACUAGUACGGGGAUCCCUUUGUUCUGUACCGUUUCAAAUUCUGAUGACUCUGGAUUCCUUGGGUGGUUGACACAUUGAAGGCUGCUGCUAUCUCAGGUUCAAUGUGUGUUGGAUUUGUUAGCAAACAAGUCAUGUAUGCUGCUAUUAAUGGUCAAUCAAAUGCAAACAGGUAUCAGAUGGUGUACUUUGAGAAAGGAGGAAACCCAAUCGAAUGCAUCUUGUACGCCAAGAAAGUGCUAUAGAAAAAUCAUAUAUUAGGUCUUCAAUAACCGAACUUUCAUUUUAAUUGGGUUUUUGCUAUA